UGAUCUUUCUCAAACUAUGACCCAGAGUCGCAAACAACGUGACAGUUUGGCACUGGAUUUUGAUGAGGAUUUUGGUCUUCCACCACCAAAAGGCGUUCUUCUGCAGAGGCGCCGCUUCUAUCAUGCUCUUGGGUUUGUAAAAUUCUGUAAAAAGUUCAAUCCAUAAAUUGAACCAGGAGCCUAUCAUUUCUCACUGGUCCACAUUUUGUAGAGGAGGCAGCCCUGAAGAGACCCGACAUCCUUUGUCACAUCCAGAGAUCAUUGAAAUUGAUAAAGAUGGUAAGAGUUUAUGGUUUCAAAUACAGUAGAACUGUCAGUGUUGGUGAAAUGACCACUAUUUAAAAAACUGUAAGGCAUCUAAAAAUGUGGUGUCUUUGGUGUGAUUGUGUAAAAAAAAUGUUGGAAAUACAACACUGAGAAUUUUCAGUAAACGAGGAGAUUACUUUCCAUUGGCCAUUUCUCUUUUCUUUUUUCAUUUUUAGAGAUUGGGGUCUGGUUUCCAAGCCUUCUGCCUUUGUGUGGGACAUAUCAAUUGCUAUAGACUCCUUAAGAUCAUAAUAUCUGAUUGGAUUAAAUUUUGGGUGUAUGUUUAAUACUAGCUCAUGAGUAUAGCUAGGUGUUUGAAAUUAUGUAUUUGUUAACUUUUUAGAAAUGCUGUAGUGCACUUACAUGGUUAUUAAUGUACUAAUAUAAUUCACAGGGCCAGUUGUUAACUGUGGGACAGUCAAUUCUAAAGAACGGAUGUACUGCACUGAUACACAGCCUGUGAACAAACUCUCUCGGAAGAGUCGCAUGAGGGAUCAGGUACUACCACUCAAAUCUUGCAGUCAUGUCUUAACUUCAGUGUGACCUAGGAAACCUGUAGCGAAGUUUGACAGAUUUAUUGAUAAUUUAUUUAUUUGUUUAUUUUUCUUACAGUUUGGAGAAAUUGUCCCAAUCAAAUGCAAGACAAAGUCAAAACCCUCCAUCACAAAGUUUCCUUCUUUGACGUGGGAUGACUUAGAAGAAUUUAACCGAGUUACCCUCAACAUCAGAAGUCUGAGACUUGGGACACUGAACAUGAACUUCAGGGGAACAGUCACUUUUUCAGUAGAUUCUAUUGAAAUUCCAAACAAAGCUCAAAUUGUGGCAUCAGGAUUGAUCAGUUGUGAAUGGUGUACAGAGCAUAAACUGCCAGCUCUGUUUUUACAAACAACUGCUGCUGAAUGGCUUCGUCUAGGAGAUCUUACCAUUGGUAUGUCCACAGAUGUCAGGAUGUUGUGCAGUUGAAAGUGUCAGUCAGUAGGACAGCAUAGACUGCCUAUUUGUCUGUAAAGGGUUUUCCUACCAUCAAAUGUGCAUUCAAUUCUUUUUUAAAAACAUCCAAAUAUUGUGAAAUUAUCAAUAACAAUUUACGCUAGGACAAGGUGUAAAAUUCCAAAUUUUGUCAAAGCCAAAUUGCAAAAAAAGAGCGAAGCUUGAAAAAAAAGAAAAACAGUAAUAUAUCAGGCUAUAAGCACCUCCAGUUAUUUUUUAAAAAAA
This 1521-nucleotide long non-coding RNA is filed under the name Astyanax mexicanus (Mexican tetra). Its description in RNAcentral is "lncRNA (ENSAMXG00005023117.1)". The record is from RNAcentral. Lineage: Eukaryota; Metazoa; Chordata; Actinopteri; Characiformes; Acestrorhamphidae.